RNAcentral lists this ribosomal RNA (419 nucleotides) under bacterium. Its description in RNAcentral is "partial 16S ribosomal RNA". It matches the Rfam family "Bacterial small subunit ribosomal RNA", at positions 355 to 776 of the family's 1533-position model. The record is from RNAcentral.
UGGGGGAUAUUGCACAAUGGGCGAAAGCCUGAUGCAGCGACGCCGCGUGGGGGAUGAAGGCCUUCGGGUUGUAAACUUCUUUUGCUCUGAACAAGGCAUGCUAAUGGGUGUGUUGAGUGUAGGGGUUGAUUAGCGCCGGCUAACUACGUGCCAGCAGCCGCGGUAAUACGUAGGGCGCGAGCGUUGUCCGGAAUUAUUGGGCGUAAAGGGCUUGUAGGUGGCUGGUUGCGUCUGUCGUGAAAGCUCAUGGCUUAACUGUGGGUUCGCGGUGGGUACGGGCUGGCUUGAGUGCAGUAGGGGAGGCUGGAAUUCCUGGUGUAGCGGUGGAAUGCGCAGAUAUCAGGAGGAAUACCGGUGGCGAAGGCGGGUCUCUGGGCUGUUACUGACACUGAGGAGCGAAAGCAUGGGGAGCGAACAGG